UAGGGAAUCUUCGGCUAUGGACGGAAGUCUGACCGAGCAACGCCGCGUGAGUGAAGAAGGUUUUCGGAUCGUAAAGCUCUGUUGUAAGAGAAGAACGAGUGUGAGAGUGGAAAGUUCACACUGUGACGGUAUCUUACCAGAAAGGGACGGCUAACUACGUGCCAGCAGCCGCGGUAAUACGUAGGUCCCGAGCGUUGUCCGGAUUUAUUGGGCGUAAAGCGAGCGCAGGCGGUUAGAUAAGUCUGAAGUUAAAGGCUGUGGCUUAACCAUAGUACGCUUUGGAAACUGUUUAACUUGAGUGCAAGAGGGGAGAGUGGAAUUCCAUGUGUAGCGGUGAAAUGCGUAGAUAUAUGGAGGAACACCGGUGGCGAAAGCGGCUCUCUGGCUUGUAACUGACGCUGAGGCUCGAAAGCGUGGGGAGCAAACAGGAUUAGAUACCCUGGUAGUCCACGCCGUAAACGAUGAGUGCUAGGUGUUAGACCCUUUCCGGGGUUUAGUGCCGUAGCUAACGCAUUAAGCACUCCGCCUGGGGAGUACGACCGCAAGGUUGA
This 551-nucleotide ribosomal RNA is filed under the name uncultured bacterium. RNAcentral's name for it is "bacterial SSU rRNA". It matches the Rfam family "Bacterial small subunit ribosomal RNA", at positions 355 to 897 of the family's 1533-position model. The record is from RNAcentral.